GGGGGGACCAUCCUCCAAGGCUAAAUACUACUGACUGACCGAUAGUGAACCAGUACCGUGAGGGAAAGGCGAAAAGAACCCCUGUGAGGGGAGUGAAAUAGAACCUGAAACCGUGUACGUACAAGCAGUAGGAGCAGGCUUGUCCUGUGACUGCGUACCUUUUGUAUAAUGGGUCAGCGACUUAUAUUCAGUGGCAAGGUUAACCAUCUAGGGGAGCCGUAGGGAAACCGAGUCUUAACUGGGCGUUCAGUCUCUGGAUAUAGACCCGAAACCAGGUGAUCUAGCCAUGGGCAGGUUGAAGGUUGAGUAACAUCAACUGGAGGACCGAACCGACUAAUGUUGAAAAAUUAGCGGAUGACUUGUGGCUAGGGGUGAAAGGCCAAUCAAACCUGGAGAUAGCUGGUUCUCCCCGAAAGCUAUUUAGGUAGCGCCUCGGACGAAUACUACUGGGGGUAGAGCACUGUUAAGGCUAGGGGGUCAUCCCGACUUACCAACCCUUUGCAAACUCCGAAUACCAGUAAGUACUAUCCGGGAGACACACGGCGGGUGCUAACGUCCGUCGUGGAGAGGGAAACAACCCAGACCGCCAGCUAAGGUCCCAAAUUACUACUAAGUGGGAAACGAUGUGGGAAGGCUCAGACAGCCAGGAUGUUGGCUUAGAAGCAGCCAUCAUUUAAAGAAAGCGUAAUAGCUCACUGGUCGAGUCGGCCUGCGCGGAAGAUGUAACGGGGCUAAGUAGUAAACCGAAGCUGCGGCAAUGUGCUUUUGCACAUUGGGUAGGGGAGCGUUCUGUAAGCGGUUGAAGGUGUGUGGUAACGCAUGCUGGACGUAUCAGAAGUGCGAAUGCUGACAUGAGUAACGAUAAAGGGGGUGAAAAACCUCCUCGCCGGAAGACCAAGGGUUCCUGUCCAACGUUAAUCGGGGCAGGGUAAGUCGACCCCUAAGGCGAGGCCGAAAGGCGUAGUCGAUGGGAAACGGGUUAAUAUUCCCGUACUUCUUACAAUUGCGAUGGGGGGACGGAGAAGGCUAGGUGGGCCUGGCGACGGUUGUCCAGGUUCAAGUGCGUAGGCUUAAGAGUUAGGUAAAUCCGGCUCUUUUUAAGGCUGAGACACGACGUCGAGCACCUACGGGUGUGAAGUCAUUGAUGCCAUGCUUCCAGGAAAAGCCUCUAAGCUUCAGAUUGUAAGGAAUCGUACCCCAAACCGACACAGGUGGUCGGGUAGAGAAUACCAAGGCGCUUGAGAGAACUCGGGUGAAGGAACUAGGCAAAAUGGUACCGUAACUUCGGGAGAAGGUACGCUCUUGAUGGUGAAGUCCCUCGCGGAUGGAGCUGACGAGAGUCGCAGAUACCAGGUGGCUGCAACUGUUUAUUAAAAACACAGCACUGUGCAAAAUCGUAAGAUGACGUAUACGGUGUGACGCCUGCCCGGUGCCGGAAGGUUAAUUGAUGGGGUUAGACUUCGGUCGAAGCUCUUGAUCGAAGCCCCGGUAAACGGCGGCCGUAACUAUAACGGUCCUAAGGUAGCGAAAUUCCUUGUCGGGUAAGUUCCGACCUGCACGAAUGGCGUAAUGAUGGCCACGCUGUCUCCACCCGAGACUCAGUGAAAUUGAAAUCGCUGUGAAGAUGCAGUGUACCCGCGGCUAGACGGAAAGACCCCGUGAACCUUUACUACAGCUUGGCACUGAACAUUGACCCUACAUGUGUAGGAUAGGUGGGAGGCUUUGAAGCACGUACGCCAGUAUGUGUGGAGCCGUCCUUGAAAUACCACCCUUGUAGUGUUGAUGUUCUAACGUCGACCCCUAAUCGGGGUUGCGGACAGUGCCUGGUGGGUAGUUUGACUGGGGCGGUCUCCUCCCAAAGAGUAACGGAGGAGCACGAAGGUGGGCUAAUCACGGUUGGACAUCGUGAGGUUAGUGCAAUGGCAUAAGCCCGCUUGACUGCGAGAAUGACAAUUCGAGCAGGUGCGAAAGCAGGUCAUAGUGAUCCGGUGGUUCUGAAUGGAAGGGCCAUCGCUCAACGGAUAAAAGGUACUCCGGGGAUAACAGGCUGAUACCGCCCAAGAGUUCAUAUCGACGGCGGUGUUUGGCACCUCGAUGUCGGCUCAUCACAUCCUGGGGCUGAAGUCGGUCCCAAGGGUAUGGCUGUUCGCCAUUUAAAGUGGUACGCGAGCUGGGUUUAGAACGUCGUGAGACAGUUCGGUCCCUAUCUGCCGUGGGCGUUGGAAGAUUGAAGGGGGCUGCUCCUAGUACGAGAGGACCGGAGUGGACGAACCUCUGGUGUUCGGGUUGUGUCGCCAGACGCAUUGCCCGGUAGCUAAGUUCGGAAUCGAUAACCGCUGAAAGCAUCUAAGCGGGAAGCGAGCCCUGAGAUGAGUCUUCCCUGAUACUUUAAGUAUCCUAAAGGGUUGUCGGAGACUACGACGUUGAUAGGUCAGGUGUGUAAGUGCUGUGAGGCAUUGAGCUAACUGAUACUAAUUGCCCGUGAGGCUUAACCAUACAACACCCAAGGGGUUU
This 2514-nucleotide ribosomal RNA is filed under the name Vibrio parahaemolyticus. RNAcentral describes it as "partial 23S ribosomal RNA". It matches the Rfam family "Bacterial large subunit ribosomal RNA", at positions 446 to 2925 of the family's 2925-position model. The record is from RNAcentral. Lineage: Bacteria; Pseudomonadati; Pseudomonadota; Gammaproteobacteria; Vibrionales; Vibrionaceae.